This 615-nucleotide ribosomal RNA is filed under the name Aphaenops bessoni. Its description in RNAcentral is "SSU rRNA". It matches the Rfam family "Eukaryotic small subunit ribosomal RNA", at positions 20 to 603 of the family's 1831-position model. RNAcentral also lists the same sequence under 2 other names. Lineage: Eukaryota; Metazoa; Arthropoda; Insecta; Coleoptera; Carabidae. The record is from RNAcentral.
GUAGUCAUAUGCUUGUCUCAAAGAUUAAGCCAUGCAUGUCUCAGUACAAGCCAUAUUAAGGUGAAACCGCGAAAGGCUCAUUAAAUCAGUUAUGGUUCCUUAGAUCGUACACACAUUUACUUGGAUAACUGUGGUAAUUCUAGAGCUAAUACAUGCAAACAGAGCUCCGACCGGAGACGGAAGGAGUGCUUUUAUUAGAUCAAGACCAAUCGGCGGCAAUUUAGUUUUGGCUUUAUUGUUCGUCGCACUUUUUGGUGACUCUGAAUAACUUUUGGCUGAUCGCACGGUCUAGCACCGGCGACGCAUCUUUCAAAUGUCUGCCUUAUCAACUGUCGAUGGUAGGUUCUGCGCCUACCAUGGUUGUAACGGGUAACGGGGAAUUAGGGUUCGAUUCCGGAGAGGGAGCCUGAGAAACGGCUACCACAUCCAAGGAAGGCAGCAGGCGCGCAAAUUACCCACUCCCGGCACGGGGAGGUAGUGACGAAAAAUAACGAUACGGGACUCAUCCGAGGCCCCGUAAUCGGAAUGAGUACACUUUAAAUCCUUUAACAAGGACCAAUUGGAGGGUAAGUCUGGUGCCAGCAGCCGCGGUAAUUCCAGCUCCAAUAGCGUAUA